GACGAACGCUGGCGGCGUGCCUAAUACAUGCAAGUUGAGCGCUGAAGGUUGGUACUUGUACCAACUGGAUGAGCAGCGAACGGGUGAGUAACGCGUGGGGAAUCUGCCUUUGAGCGGGGGACAACAUUUGGAAACGAAUGCUAAUACCGCAUAAAAACUUUAAACACAAGUUUUAAGUUUGAAAGAUGCAAUUGCAUCACUCAAAGAUGAUCCCGCGUUGUAUUAGCUAGUUGGUGAGGUAAAGGCUCACCAAGGCGAUGAUACAUAGCCGACCUGAGAGGGUGAUCGGCCACAUUGGGACUGAGACACGGCCCAAACUCCUACGGGAGGCAGCGGUAGGGAAUCUUCGGCAAUGGACGAAAGUCUGACCGAGCAACGCCGCGUGAGUGAAGAAGGUUGUCGGAUCGUAAAACUCUGUUGGUAGAGAAGAACGUUGGUGAGAGUGGAAAGCUCAUCAAGUGACGGUAACUACCCAGAAAGGGACGGCUAACUACGUG
Molecule: ribosomal RNA, 497 nt
Filed under: uncultured bacterium
Lineage: Bacteria
Description: partial 16S ribosomal RNA
Rfam family: Bacterial small subunit ribosomal RNA
Source: RNAcentral